UGGGGGAUAUUGCACAAUGGGCGAAAGCCUGAUGCAGCGACGCCGCGUGGGGGAUGAAGGCCUUCGGGUUGUAAACUUCUUUUGCUCUGAACAAGGCGCACCAUGGGGUGUGUUGAGUGUAGGGGUUGAUUAGCGCCGGCUAACUACGUGCCAGCAGCCGCGGUAAUACGUAGGGCGCGAGCGUUGUCCGGAAUUAUUGGGCGGAAAGGGCUUGUAGGUGGCUGGUUGCGUCUGUCGUGAAAGCUCAUGGCUUAACUGUGGGUUUGCGGUGGGUACGGGCUGGCUUGAGUGCAGUAGGGGAGGCUGGAAUUCCUGGUGUAGCGGUGGAAUGAGCAGAUAUCAGGAGGAAUACCGGUGGCGAAGGCGGGUCUCUGGGCUGUUACUGACACUGAGGAGCGAAAGCAUGGGGAGCGAAGAGG
This 419-nucleotide ribosomal RNA is filed under the name bacterium. Its description in RNAcentral is "partial 16S ribosomal RNA". It matches the Rfam family "Bacterial small subunit ribosomal RNA", at positions 355 to 776 of the family's 1533-position model. The record is from RNAcentral.